CAGUCGCCGCGGUAAUACAGAGGGUGCUAGCGUUGUUCGGAAUGACUGGGCGUAAAGGGCGCGUAGGCGGUUGGCAUAGUCAGAUAUGAUAGCCCCGGGCUUAACCUGGGAGGUGCAUUUGAUACUGGCCGACUGGAGUGUGAGAGAGGAAAGCGGAAUUCCUAGUGUAGAGGUGAAAUUCGUAGAUAUUAGGAGGAACACCAGAGGCGAAGGCGGCUUUCUGGCUCACAACUGACGCUGAGGCGCGAAAGCGUGGGGAGCAAACAGGAUUAGAGACCCCGGUAGUCCCUGUCUCUUAUAC
Molecule: ribosomal RNA, 301 nt
Filed under: uncultured bacterium
Lineage: Bacteria
Description: partial 16S ribosomal RNA
Rfam family: Bacterial small subunit ribosomal RNA
Source: RNAcentral